RNAcentral lists this transfer RNA (60 nucleotides) under Felis catus (domestic cat). Lineage: Eukaryota; Metazoa; Chordata; Mammalia; Carnivora; Felidae. The record is from Rfam by way of RNAcentral.
CCCUGGGUGGCUCAGUUGGUUGAGCAUCUGACUUCAGCUCAGGUCAUGAUCUCUCAGGGU